UACGUAGGUGGCAAGCGUUGUCCGGAUUUACUGGGCGUAAAGAGCGCGCAGGCGGUCGUUCAAGUCGCGUGUGAAAGCCCCCGGCUCAACUGGGGAGGGUCACGCGAUACUGUUCGACUCGAAGGCAGGAGAGGGAAGCGGAAUUCCCGGUGUAGUGGUGAAAUGCGUAGAUAUCGGGAGGAACACCAGUGGCGAAGGCGGCUUCCUGGCCUGUUCUUGACGCUGAGGCGCGAAAGCUAGGGUAGCAAACGGG
This 253-nucleotide ribosomal RNA is filed under the name uncultured bacterium. RNAcentral's name for it is "partial 16S ribosomal RNA". It matches the Rfam family "Bacterial small subunit ribosomal RNA", at positions 524 to 776 of the family's 1533-position model. The record is from RNAcentral.